This 138-nucleotide small nucleolar RNA is filed under the name Ornithorhynchus anatinus (platypus). Lineage: Eukaryota; Metazoa; Chordata; Mammalia; Monotremata; Ornithorhynchidae. The record is from RNAcentral.
CCCAUCUCAGGAUCACACCUGGAGAGUUUCCAGUACUCUACCAGUGUUGGCUAUGGGAGGGACAGUCAAGCAGAGGCCAAUCCAUUUCAUUCCUAGCUUGGGCAGUGGCUAGCGAGUGGAAGGCCAUCUGCUACAAGU